GCAUCGGUGCUUCAGUGGAACAAUGCUCGCCUGCCACGCGGGCGGCCCCGGGUUCGAUUCCCGGCCGAUGCA
This is a non-coding RNA of Cordylochernes scorpioides, 72 nucleotides long. The record is from the annotation of a GenBank genome assembly. NCBI's taxonomy places the organism in Eukaryota, Metazoa, Arthropoda, Arachnida, Pseudoscorpiones, Chernetidae.